RNAcentral lists this transfer RNA (23 nucleotides) under Iguana iguana (Common green iguana). Its description in RNAcentral is "partial tRNA-Leu". Lineage: Eukaryota; Metazoa; Chordata; Lepidosauria; Squamata; Iguanidae. The record is from RNAcentral.
UUUAAAGGAUAAAAGACAAUCCA